CCCAUGCAGGAGCCCAGUGUCAGACUGAGCCUGUGCCGCAGUGUGGGCAUGAUGGCACAGGCAGUGCGCAGCGCCAGUCCCUCCGGAGCUCCCAGCUUCCCUGCCAAGGCCGAGCUCCUGGCGACAAUGAUGGCUCUUGACCUGCUGCAAUUCUUCGGCAGUAGUUACACUCUAGAUGACAGCUUGGAAGAGAGCUUGAGGGAGGGGAUAUUAUAUCUGGCUGCACAGGACCUCAGACAGACAAUCCAGUCCCUACUGACCCUCACAUCUCCCUCUGAGAGCUCACUCCCGGAGGUGUGGCAGGUCCUCAGUACCAGCCAGGUGGUCUCGGAGACCGUGAAGCACCUCGGCCUGAUGAGGGACAUGAAGGUGGAUGAUCCAGAAGUGGAACACCCAAUCUGCUGGUGUUUCUAACUGAGCAGAGGACAGAUAGUCAGACAGCUGACAGCUACAGCACCGAGGUACUGUCUCCCUGUGAUAUGUUGCUGCCCAAGAGCAGGCAGAGUGACACCAGCAAACAGGCAAGUGACUGUGUGAGCAAACAGAUCCCUGUUUGUAGCACAGGGACAGGCUGGCGAGCACAGAAAAGCUUGGUGCAGACCAGCAGCCCAAAGCCACAACCAGAACAGGCCAUAUCAAAGCUGGGUGAACACAGAAGCUCAUCACACAGCAAACUCCAAACUCAGAGCUGAUGGUAAUAAGCACAGUCUGUAAACAGACAGACACAGCACACAAGCACAAGAGGGUAAUCUAGACAACAAAGGCAGGGUGAAGCUAGGGUCCAGUAUCCAGGGAGCAAUCUCGGCAGUCAGGGAGAAGCUCGAGAGUUUAGUACCGAGUUCCUGAGCGCUGCCAGACCACGGCUUGUGUAGCUUGAACCACCUGAGGCAGGCGUGGUGGACAAUUAUCUUCAGAUGUGGCUGGCUAG
RNAcentral lists this long non-coding RNA (928 nucleotides) under Lepisosteus oculatus (spotted gar). Its description in RNAcentral is "lncRNA (ENSLOCG00000022650.1)". Lineage: Eukaryota; Metazoa; Chordata; Actinopteri; Semionotiformes; Lepisosteidae. The record is from RNAcentral.